This 225-nucleotide ribosomal RNA is filed under the name uncultured bacterium. RNAcentral's name for it is "partial 16S ribosomal RNA". It matches the Rfam family "Bacterial small subunit ribosomal RNA", at positions 109 to 334 of the family's 1533-position model. The record is from RNAcentral.
CGGAACACGUACGCAAUCUACCCAAAACUGAUGAAUAGCCCUCCGAAAGGAGGAUUAAUACAUCGUAACUUAAGGAAGUGGCAUCACUAUCUUAAUAUAGCUCCGGCGGUUUUGGAUGAGCGUGCGCCUGAUUAGGUAGUUGGCGGGGUAACGGCCCACCAAGCCUGCGAUCAGUAACUGGUGUGAGAGCACGACCAGUCACACGGGCACUGAGACACGGGCCCG